RNAcentral lists this transfer RNA (69 nucleotides) under Ictidomys tridecemlineatus (thirteen-lined ground squirrel). RNAcentral describes it as "Spermophilus tridecemlineatus (thirteen-lined ground squirrel) tRNA". It matches the Rfam family "tRNA". Rfam says of the family: Transfer RNA (tRNA) molecules are approximately 80 nucleotides in length. Their secondary structure includes four short double-helical elements and three loops (D, anti-codon, and T loops). Further hydrogen bonds mediate the characteristic L-shaped molecular structure. tRNAs have two regions of fundamental functional importance: the anti-codon, which is responsible for specific mRNA codon recognition, and the 3' end, to which the tRNAs corresponding amino acid is attached (by aminoacyl-tRNA synthetases). tRNAs cope with the degeneracy of the genetic code in two manners: having more than one tRNA (with a specific anti-codon) for a particular amino acid; and 'wobble' base-pairing, i.e. permitting non-standard base-pairing at the 3rd anti-codon position. The record is from Rfam by way of RNAcentral. Lineage: Eukaryota; Metazoa; Chordata; Mammalia; Rodentia; Sciuridae.
GGGAUUGUGGCUCAGAGGUAGAGUGCUUGCUUAGCGUGCAUGAGGCACUGGGUUCGAUCCUCAGCACCA